UCCUCUUCUGAGGUCAAUGAGAAUAACGCAAACGCUCCAAACCCAACCUAAAGGGGUGGUGCUCUUCACAAACUCAAGUAACUACAACAUGGGAGGGAAGCCAAGCUGUUACACAGAAGCUGUAACUCGCUGUUAAAAUCACUGUUUGGAGACUUGUUCCUGGCAUGGAGAUGAACUGUUCCAAGGAAUGGUUGCACAUUUCCUGCACCAUUCUCAGAUUGCAUUCCAACGUUUACCAUGGUGACCGUGAUAAGAGGGGCGAGGAAUGAGCAAGGGCCAUAUGCACAGACAUGGUGUCAUUAGAACAAGUCUGACACCUGUGUGUAAUCAGAGACAGAGAUUUCUUAGUAUGGAAAAUAGCAGCAAGAUCAGUGAAUUCCUUCUUCUGUGUUCCAAAAUGAAUACUAUAUGAGUAUGGAAAAGCAUGAAGGUUCUCCAGACCUGAAAGCAGGAAUUGCAUGUGCCAUUCCCGCUCAGCCUGAAAGGAACAUCUGACCAUUACCGCCUCACGCUGUUCCCAUUUCCUCAGAUACAAAACUGACUUCCUGAAUGAGGUAGACAGGCAUGUUCCUGCAGGAAUGUCCCAGUGUUUUGCUUUUGAGAGCUACUUUGAGGUUAUACUGAUUGCCAGAAUCAUCACUCAGCACAAGUGAUUACUGUCUUUGUAACAUCUGCACCAUCAACAACCUGGAGUCAGCUGGAUCACAGGUUAACACACCUGAGCCCAAUUUCUCUUGCAGUGUCAUUCCUCACCUUCAUCCUUAUCCUACAUCAAGGGAAUUAGAACACAGAAAACACUCACUGGAAUGUGGACAUGGUCACAGGGAAUUGCAGGUGUGGAAGAUCUUGCCCUCUGAAAGGCCCUAGAUGUGCAGACACUGUCACUGUUUCUGUGAAUACUGAUAAUUCAGAGUGAUGUCCUCCACCUCAUCAGUCUUGCAGAGCUUGUGACCAAACACGUCCUUCAGCAUCUUGAUUAGCCCGUGUAUAAAGUAUAUCUCACGGCCUGGUUCUCCUGGUUUGGAGGAAACACGCAGGUCGAAAUAGCGUAUUCCUCCUUCGAGCUGUUCCCUGAAGGUGAGGUUCUGGGUCAUGGACCACUUCUUCAUCACCUUCUUGGCCAGGAAGCGGAAUAUCGCAGCCAGAUGCUUCACAUACGUUUUCUGGUCUGGACCGACUGGAGCUUGCUCAUCCACCCAGAAGCUGAAGGAAUCAUGAGAGCCUAUAGCACAAGCAUAAAGGCAGCAUCAAGACAGUUCUACAGUUCAUUUAGUCAUUAUGUCACAACUCUACAAGUUGUUUAUUGUUAUUAACAGUAUUAAAGAUUUAUUAGAAAUAUCCAGCUUUCAAUAAUUAGUUGGUUUCUAUACAAAAUCAUAGGAACAGGUUUGAUCAUUUAGGACUGUCCUCUAAUGAAAGACAAAAAAGACCAAGACAAAUUGACAAAAUUGGAGAGACGCAUAUUUGACCUUACAGAAUUAUCAUCCUGAAAGGAUUAUGAUGUCAUCAUGAAGUCAUGUUAUUUUUUAUUUUAUUUUUUUACAUCAUUACAUUUCGCAUUGUUUUAAUAAGAGUGCAUUUUAAGUCUAAAAAUUAAGAUUAAUAUAUUAAUAUUAAUAAAAUAUGUAUGAAAUUAUUUAAUGUUAUAUAAUAUUUAUAAAUAUAUAUAAAAUAUAAAUAAUAUCUGUAAUAUUGUCAGUCCUCUGUCGUGUGUGUCAUGUAUUCCCACCUCUUGUUUCCUUAUUUGGUCAUGUUCCUUGUUCAGUGUGAUUAUUAGUUAAUUCUCGUCCAGCUGUGUUUAGUAAUUAUCUAUGAUUAUCAUGUGUAUUUAGUUCCUGCCUGUUUAGUUAGUUUUGUGUGUUCCUGUCUGUCAACCUUCUCUUGUCUUGCCCUGU
Long non-coding RNA from Onychostoma macrolepis, 1895 nucleotides. RefSeq lists it as uncharacterized. The record is from RefSeq and is a predicted model, not a curated record. NCBI's taxonomy places the organism in Eukaryota, Metazoa, Chordata, Actinopteri, Cypriniformes, Cyprinidae. The transcript has 11 exons.